GGGGGGGGGGGGGGGGGGGGGGGGGGGGGGGGGGGGGGGGGGGGGGGGCCCGUGGGGGGUGGUGGGGUGGGGACCGGGUGAUUGGAGCGUGGGGCGCGUGCACGUGGCGUGGGGGGGACUGCGGGGAACUCGGGCGAAUACGGGAUGGGCAGCCUGUCUGCAUGGAGGGCGUUGGAACGCUCCGGCGGUUUUGCAUGGACUCGCGGCUGAUCAGAUUGUCGGUGGGGUAGUGGCUUACCCAGGCGUGGACGGGUCGCCGGCCUGAGAGGGCGACCGGCCACAUUGAGACUGAGAUACGGCCCAGACUCCUACGGGAGGCAGCAGUGGGGAAUAUUGCACAAUGGGCGAAAGCCUGAGGCAGCAACGCCGAGUGCGGGAUGACGGCCUUCGGGUUGUAAACCGCUUUCAGCAGGGGCGAAGCUUGUGGUGACGGUACCUGCAGAAGAAGCACCGGCUAAGUACGUG
This 465-nucleotide ribosomal RNA is filed under the name uncultured bacterium. RNAcentral's name for it is "partial 16S ribosomal RNA". The stretch from base 82 to 465 matches the Rfam family "Bacterial small subunit ribosomal RNA", at positions 39 to 507 of the family's 1533-position model. The record is from RNAcentral.